Molecule: non-coding RNA, 72 nt
Organism: Candidatus Falkowbacteria bacterium CG1_02_37_44
Lineage: Bacteria; Candidatus Falkowiibacteriota
Source: Rfam
CGGGGGUUGGUUUAGCGGUAAAAUACACGGUUCGGGACCGUGUGAUGGAGGGUUCGACUCCCUCACCCCCGA